UAGACAGUAUUAACAUACAAUACAUCCAUAAAUUCCACCAAUAAGAAUAUAAUCAACUACACAAUUCCCUUUGUUAUUUGCAAUCCAAUUACUUCCAAACUUGAAACAAAAUCAAAUGAAAACCAAACCAAAUAGAUCCCUAAAACCUUGGUGGCAUCUGAAAAAGAAGUUUACCAAAGGACAUCCAAAAAUCUCAUGAUUAUAUGCAUUUAACCAUUUGAAGAGAGCAGUGGAUAACACCUUGCAACAUUUAAGCAAUGAAAGAGAGGGUAGUAGUUAUAUCUGCUGAAUUCCAUGCAACAAUCAUAGCCUUCAAUUCAAAUCUUCCAUAUUCAAUCAUGAUAGAGUGUGGCAUCAGAUAUUUGCUGGGCCCUAUUUUGUCCCCAUUUCUUGUCCACUUGUGUUUAUAAUGUUCCUUCAGAAUUGGGGGUUGAGUCCUAAGGUAAUGUUCAACACUUUAUAUUCCUGUACCAACAACUCCAUGAUAUAUACACCCAAGAAUUUUUUGGUACCUAUUGAUGAUCUCAUUUAUAGAUGGCAUAUUAAUAAUUGAGAAUAUAGGAGGUGGGAUCUGCCGUCCAAUUUUGUUGUUGAAAUGGUCGUUCAUCAAAUAAAUUAUUGACAUUUUAUCAAUUUGAUCGGUUAGUUGUGAAGUUAAUGAGCGUAAAUUUGAGAUGAUAUAUUAAUUAUUGAUGACAUGUCAAUAAUUCAUUAAAUUGACAACCAUUUAUACAACAAAAUUGAACAGUAAAUCUCGACUCAAAAUAUAAAUAUUAUGAAUAAGUUGCAUUUGACGACCAUGUGUGAUAAAAGUGUGUCAAUACUACAUGAUCACUCGAAAAGUAAGCGAUAAAUAUAUAAAACCUAACAACUUUUAUAAUUAUAUGAAAAUAUGAAAAUUAUGUGUUCUUAUUUACUAAAAUAAUAGAAAUUUGAGUGUUUAAAAUUUAUUUAUAUUAUGAUUGGGGUUCGCAUUAAAAAUCAACCUUGUUAAUAUGUUGUUUGAUUUUUUCAUUUUUAUUUGAAAUGGGAUUCCAUUCUAAAUUAAGUAAUAUACUUCAGAUAUGUGCAACAUAACUACACUUUAUUUGAUUUUAAUUAACUACACUUUGAUUUCCAUUAAGACAAUUCCACUUACAUAAAUUGAUGAUGUAAUAGUCGACAAAUAAUUGUCAUUAUAUUAUCAAUUUUAUUAGACGAAUUGAAAUCAAAUUUAGCCCUUGUGUUGGAAAAAUUAUAGGUACUAUGAAUGUGUGCUUGAAAAUGAUUUCGAGAAAAAUGGUUAUACUAAAAUAUAUGCAAAAAUAAAUAAAUAAAAAUCCUGAAGUGUAGUUACACAAGUGAAACAAAUCGAAGUAUAAUUACUUGAUUGAUACUAAUUGAAAGUAUAGUUACCGUGGGUGGAAUAUAACCAAAUAAAUUCAGUAAAAAUUUAAACAUUACAUAAUAAACAUUUCCAUUCUGCUAGAAAUUAAAUUGCUUAGUUAUUCGACAAUUACAAUCUUUAUUUAAUAAUAAAAUUAAACUGACAGUAAGGUUAGUGUUAAUUUAUUCAUUUCAUAAAAUAAUAAGAUCACUAAAUAAAACAUUAAAAUAUUUAUUCAGUUGUUUAUUAAGGGCACGUUCUAUAAUAAUUAUGAGAAUUGAUUUUUUUGAUCAUUAAAAAGAAAAGUAGGUCCCACUUGUGAGUAAAGAAGUCAAAAAUGAUGGCUGAAAUAAUAAAAUAACUGUAAAAAAUUGCUACCUAAUAGGGGAUUAAGUGUUUCAAUUUUUUUUGAAAAAAACCUUAAGAUAAGAUUUAACUAAAAUUAUCAUGUAAAAAUAAUAAAAUUAAAAGUGGUAAGAGUGAAGUCUAAUCAGAUCAAUGACUUGAUUCUGAUUCUCGUUUGGGAGGGUAAAAUUUUGGAAAAAAAAUUAUGAUAUUUUUAAAAAUCCUCUCUCUGCUGGAUGUCACAUUAGGCUUCUAAUAAGAAAUAAAAGUCCAUAACAUGGAUCUGAAGCCUUUUAAGAGGCCCUAUUUAAGUCCACAAAAUGGAUGUAAAGUUGGGCCUCCACAAGAAGCCAUUUAGGCCCACUCACAAAAUCUCCCACAGAAUUCUUAUUGAAAUAGGAAGGUAAACUAAAAUCAAAGUUUACAUUGAUACAACAGCCAACUUCAAAUAUUACAUUUAUCACUUAGCUCCCGUUUGACCCCUCAUUUUGUGGAAAAAUCAAUGAUUGAAAUAGUGUUUUUUUUUUAUAAAAACGAGUAGUUGAAAAAGAAAGAAUUUUUCGAUUUACGUAUAAUACUAUUUUAUAAAAAAUUGCGUGAUUAAACGUAAAUGAGAGAAAAAUGAAAUGUAAGGCUUAAAAAACAUACUGUAUCUUGAAAUUAUCAAUCAAAUUAAUACGUACUUUUCCAUUAGGGAAAAGUUCUAUGUUUAUAACAUAUUAUCAGAGAAAGAAAAUGCUGAAUGCAAGGGGAAAAAAGAGAGGAAAAUCAGAGUCUAAUGCUUGGUGUUCUCUAGUAAAGGAAAAGUACUAAAAUAUGAAAAACAAAAACAAGAAAGCAAACUGUUCACUGUUCACCGACUGAAUAUUCCAAUAAUGGACUACUGGGGCUGUUUUACCUUUGCUUUCGAGGUCUCCCACGUGGAUUCUAACAUCAGCCUUGAAACCUUAGAAAUCCAUUCAAGUUUAGCUGCCUCAGAAAUAUCCCACAAACAAAUGAAUGAGUUUGGCAACUUUUUGUAUAAGUUUUUUUUUUUUGUUUUUUCUUGUUUUUUUGGGUUUCUGUGAAAUUUAUAGUUUUAUGAAGAAAUUAUGGAUUAAAGAAAGAGAAAAGAACUUAUUGAUUUUUGUUUGAAAAGGGGAAAAAGGAAAAGAAUAAUUUCUGGGUUUAAUUAUCUUAGCGUGAUAUUGAAGAAAUGAAGUGGAUUUAAUGUUUUCUGCAAUGGAAAUGCUUAAAAAUUUCGGCUAAUGUUAUGCUUCAGGUUGGUGAGAUCCUUG
Molecule: long non-coding RNA, 2988 nt
Filed under: Olea europaea (common olive)
Lineage: Eukaryota; Viridiplantae; Streptophyta; Magnoliopsida; Lamiales; Oleaceae
Description: long non-coding RNA (OEUR_LNC001087)
Source: RNAcentral